AGACAAUUUUGAAACAAAGAUAAAUGUGCUUGCAUACUCAAGACUUUUUUCUGAGGGAGAGACAUCAAGAUACUUCAUUUAUACGAAGUUCAAUUUGGUAGAUAACAAAUAUAUAUUUGCUGCUUAACAAGGAUUCAUGCAAAACUAAUAAUGAUGCAUGUUCAAUUGAUCCUUCAUGCACAGCAGCUAGCAUUGGUUGAUUCAGUUUGAAGUUGAGCAAAACUAAAAUGCUGAUAUUCUUGAAGAGGGAACCAAAUGAAACUUAAAUAAUUAUAAACCAAACAAAAUUGAAAUAAUCUGGUU
RNAcentral lists this unclassified non-coding RNA (303 nucleotides) under Hevea brasiliensis (rubber tree). The record is from RNAcentral. Lineage: Eukaryota; Viridiplantae; Streptophyta; Magnoliopsida; Malpighiales; Euphorbiaceae.